This 260-nucleotide long non-coding RNA is filed under the name Elaeis guineensis (African oil palm). RNAcentral describes it as "long non-coding RNA (EGUI_LNC061972)". The record is from RNAcentral. Lineage: Eukaryota; Viridiplantae; Streptophyta; Magnoliopsida; Arecales; Arecaceae.
CCUUGGGUGCUGAUGCUGCAGGUGGAAGUCAUCUGCUGAAGAAGCUCGGACGGGGACUUUCUGUUGGAGAAGUCUGGUAGGAGUCUGAUUGCUAGAGAAGUUCGUCUGAAAUUUAUCUGAUGUAGAAGCUCGUCUGAAGACUGUCUGCUGGAGAGGUCCGGUUUUACGAGGAAUCCAGCAGAAGGUCGAUCGAUAGUGGAGUUCGGAAGGCAUUAUGGAAGUUCGUCCGCUGGAGGAGUCCUGAGGACACUAUGGAAGGU